AACGCUGGCGGCGUGCCUAAUACAUGCAAGUCAACGGUCUUUCUAUGGAAGCUUGCUUCACUGAAAAGAUAGUGGCGAACGGGUGAGUAACACGUGGGUAACCUGCCCAUAAGAGGGGGGAUAACAUCCGGAAACGGGUGCUAAUACCGCAUAGUUUUCUUGAUCGCAUGAUCGGGAAAGGAAAGACGGCCUUUGUGCUGUCGCUUAUGGAUGGACCCGCGGCGUAUUAGUUAGUUGGUGAGGUAACGGCUCACCAAGACGAUGAUACGUAGCCGACCUGAGAGGGUGAUCGGCCACACUGGGACUGAGACACGGCCCAAACUCCUACGGGAGGCAGCAGUAGGGAAUCUUCCGCAAUGGACGAAAGUCUGACGGAGCAACGCCGCGUGAGUGAAGGUAAAACGGGUUUUCGGAUCGUAAAACUCUGUUGUCAGAGAAGAACAAGUUGGAGAGUAACUGCUCCAGCCUUGACGGUAUCUGACCAGAAAGCCACGGCUAACUACGUGCCAGCCGCUGC
This 517-nucleotide ribosomal RNA is filed under the name uncultured bacterium. RNAcentral's name for it is "bacterial SSU rRNA". It matches the Rfam family "Bacterial small subunit ribosomal RNA", at positions 32 to 518 of the family's 1533-position model. The record is from RNAcentral.